UUCACGAUGCGUCGUUCCUAGGGUUCGUCGUAUUUCCUCGAAGCUUUGAUAAGUUCCAGCAACAAUGAAUGCGAGUGAGACGAAUCGUUGCGAAGAAGCUCUCUGUCAAGCUUCGAUUUGUCGUUUCGUCUUUGGUUCUUAUCGGUGACGUUACGAGAUUUCUUGAUUCAUCCCCUUUAAGAAACUUCUUAACUCCAUCAAGCACGAUGUCUCAUUCAAUGCUCUCUUAGAGGUGGUGGAUCUCCACCUAUAAAAAUGUCAGCCUUCAUACCCUGAUCACCAUCCUCACACUUCCUACUUUUUUAACACAUUUUUUUAUAGAAAUUUUGAUCGAGUUCAGACAUUGAAACAAAGUUGAUCUCAGCUGAUAAUGGCAAGGAGACUCCAACUUCUUUGAUUCUUACAACUUCCAAUUCAAAGGUUUUUUAUUACACAAUCUUUUUCUCUUGCCUCUGACUAUAAAAAAGUGAUCUUCUUUAUGGAUUCGUGAUAGUUUAGUCCAAGAUAUUCUCUUGAGAUGUUGAUUUUGUGUUUGUGAUCAUGUUUCGAGAGAGAUUGUUGGACCCAAGAGAAGCAAGCAUGAUUAAGCUGGAAGCAAUAAAAACUUAACGGAGACGUGUAUGUGGGAUAUCACAAUGUUGAAGGUGAUUAUUAGAUGCAUCAACGUGGUUAGCUCCAACACGAUCGUAGCCAGUUGAUUGGUAGCCUUGAGGUGUCAAUCGAUACAAAGCUUCAAACAUCCACUGUGAAGAUUGACAGUGUUUAUUUUGGCCACCAUCUCUCUCUAACAAUCAUGAUUUUGAACUGGCAGGAGAAGUUAAUCCGAGUUCACAUUGAUCGAGUAAAGGGCAUCUGAAGUACUUCUACAAUCCUAUGUAUACACAUUAAAAGUUGGUUAGUAUCAGUUUGAGUGGUACUUUAUCAGUGGCUCUUCUCUGGGACCCAUGCAACAGACCGACCGCUGCAGAGGCUCUGUACGUCCCGUUCUUUCAGAUUCAACCGCAAGUGUGGCCAGAGAUAGUCCCCCUGAAACGAGGAUACCAAUGGGAUAAAGUGUUGUAGUCGGAUUUUUUGAAUACCUUAAGUUGAGUAGCGGUAUGAACUAGAGCAGAGUGAUCUGUGGCCACUACAUCUUGAAGAAUAAAAAUGGAAGGAGUGAGGCCAAAAAGAAAAUGAAAAGACAUGCGAGUGAGUGAGGGAGAGAGGGAGAGAGAGAGAGGGAGAGAGGUGAGUGCAGGUAAAAAGUAAAAUCAUGUUGUGAACAUUAAUCUAAAAAGUAAAAUCAUGCUGUGAACAUUAAUCUGCAUCGAAGUUAAUUUAACUGCUUCCACCGUAAUAUUUUAUUUUUC
Molecule: long non-coding RNA, 1349 nt
Organism: Brassica napus (rape)
Lineage: Eukaryota; Viridiplantae; Streptophyta; Magnoliopsida; Brassicales; Brassicaceae
Exons: 4
Source: RefSeq, a predicted model, not a curated record